CAGGGAUAUUUUAUCAUUUAAAGAUAGCAUAAAAUAAGUUUUAAAAAAUAUUGGACUAGAGCCUGGAAAGCCUGGAGAAUACCUGACAAGAUGGCUAAAAUUAUUAUCUCAUAUAUAAUUAUCAUGAGUCUUAAAGCAACAGUGAUAUCUUCUCUCAACAUCCAGCAAUUACCACCAAAUCUACUAAUCACAAAUGAGCAGAGUGAAGCAAAUCUCAGCUGCCAACAUGGUGAUACCAACUAUCCCUACAUGUACUGGUAUCAGCAAAAGACCGCUGGUGUCUCAAUUGAGCUCAUUGGGAUGCUCCAUUAUGAAAAAUCCACUCCUGAGGACAAGUUUAAAGCACGAUUCAACAUUACAGGACACUCUAAAGGGGAUGCAUUUCUGCUCAUAUCCAGUCCAACUCCUGAUGACAGUGCAGUAUAUUUCUGUGCUGCUAGUAACACAGCCACACACCUUCCCUUUCUGUUUAACAAAAAGCUUCACACCAAACACCUGCAAAUAAGAUCUGUUUUCUGA
Neoarius graeffei (lesser salmon catfish) is the source of this 519-nucleotide non-coding RNA. The record is from the annotation of a RefSeq genome assembly. NCBI's taxonomy places the organism in Eukaryota, Metazoa, Chordata, Actinopteri, Siluriformes, Ariidae.